GGAGAUGGGGUUUCACCAUGUUGGCCAGGCUGGUUUCACCAUGUUGGCCGGGCCGUUUUCGAACUCCUGACCUCAGAUGAUCCACCUGCCUCCCAAAAUGCUGGGAUUACAGGCAUGAGCCACCGCGCCCGGCCCUACUAUUGGAUUUUUAAAGAAAGAUAUUUAAGAACAUUCUUUGCUAGAACUGAGGACAAUUUAAACUUAUUCCAUUCAAAAAAACUUAGUGCAGAAUGCAGACUUUCUCUUUCAAGUAUAUGUAAAAGUUAACUUCUUUUUUUUUCCACCUCUGGAAGACAAUGUACAAUGUAGUGCUCUUCAGAUACACUAAUGAGACCCUUUUUAUACUUUAACAGGGACAUAAACAUUUCCUUUUGUAACAAAAAUAAAUUACGAGUUUCAUUUUAAAAAGCCUAUUCCCAAGAAAUGUUUUGAGUGUUAAUCUAAGUAAGAUUUCAUUAUUAUCGUAAGUAAACCUUUGAGUUCAAAUAUUUUUUUUUUGAAAAUUGAAGGUAUAUGUAGGGGCUCAACCUAAAUGCCAGGGAAUUAACCCCCCACAGGAAGCAAUCAUAUAAUUCUAAGUCAGUAUAUAAUUGAAUCGAUGUAGGAUUUUUAAGUAUUCUCUCAACUAUAUUAAAUGAAUUGUUUUUCCAGUUUUCUAGUGGUCUAAAAACUUAAAUAGGCUGCAAAUCUGCUGUGAUUCAAACCGUGCAAUUCCUCCCAGGCAUCUCUGACUUGAGGGACUAAGUUCCUGUAAUUAUAUGUCCUGAAAUUAACUGGGUUGCCAGAUAGGUUUUCUCAACCUUCAAUAGCUUGUUGGAAGUCUUACAGAAUGCUCUUUAUUAGAAAUAUUUGGAUCUACUUCCCCCUUUUUGGAUACUCAAAUUAGUGUUUUUCUAGUUCUCUGGCAUAAUUUGUAUAGCUGCUUCCUUUGCAGAAAGUAAGCUUAUGUUCUGCUUUUCCCCUUCUGGUUGGCUGGAGUGCUAGGUCACUCUUAUCUGUGCUCUAGGAAACUUUUACGUUUCUACUUAGCUUAGGAUGACACCCUGAAAGAUUUAGGGUCUGCUUCUGUUUGGGUCAGGGGGUAGACACCUGAAUUCAUUGGUCUUUUUUUGGCUCACUGCAGCCUUGACCUCCAGCACUCAAGGGAUCCUCCCACUUCAGCCUCUAGAGUAGCUGCAACUAUAGGUGCGUGACACUAUGCUCACUAAUUUUGUGUAUUUAUUGUAGAGACAAGGUCUUACUGUGUUCCCAGGCUGGUCUCGGACUCCUGGACUCAAGGGAUCUUCCUUCUUCAGCCUCCCAAAGUGCUAGGGUAAUAGGCAUGAGCCACCAUGCCCGGCCAAAUAGAUUGGUUUUUAUCAAAGAUGCUGUAAUAUUAAUAUGCAUCUUCCUGCUUUCCCUUCAAAAGUGAGAAUUAAUGUUGUUUUCUUUUCUUUUCUUUUCUUUUUUGAGAUGGAGUCUCUCUCUGUCACCCAGGCUGGAGUGCAGUAGUGUGAUCUUGGCCCACCGCAACCUCUGCCUCCCGGGUUCAAGCAAUUCUCCUGCCUCAGCCUCCCGAGUAGCUGGGAUUACGGGGUCUUGCUCUGUCACCCAGGCUAGAGUGCAGUGGUGUGAUCACAGCUCACUGGAGCCUUGACCUCCUGGGAUCAAGCGAUUCUCCCACCUCAACCUUUGAACUUCUAGAUAAGUGGUUCUCAAAGUAUGGUCCUUCAACCAACAGCAUCAUCACUACCCAGGAACUUAUUAGAAAUGGAAGUUCCUGCACCCUGCCAAAACCAGAAACUCUGGGGAUGGGUCCCAGCAAUCUUUAUUUUAACAGCCCUUCAAGUGAUUCUGAUGCAAACUUAAGUUUGAAAACAUUGUUCUAUUAAAAGUAAUGGCAAAAACCACAAUUACUUUUGCACCAACCUAAGAGCUCUGCACUGUUCAAUAUGGUAGCCUCUAACUAUUGAAUUUUUUAAUGCUAUUAUCUCCUUUAUUCAAAAAUAAAUAUUUCACUUUGAUUCAA
Molecule: long non-coding RNA, 2008 nt
Organism: Nomascus leucogenys (northern white-cheeked gibbon)
Lineage: Eukaryota; Metazoa; Chordata; Mammalia; Primates; Hylobatidae
Exons: 3
Source: RefSeq, a predicted model, not a curated record